UUCCUCAGCAAGCACUUUUAUUCAUAUAACUUUUUCUCGUAUUUUCCCAUGUAGAUAGUGAUCCCAUGGAUAUUUUAGACAUAGAUUGUUUCUGGUUCAUAGGCCCUUUUAACAUCACGGAAAACCAUCAAACAAAAUAACAUUACCGCCAGUGCUUUCUGCUUUCGUAUAUUGCAGCAUACUACGGCACUGUUAAACAAUUCUACUCAUAAAUUAUGUAUAAAUGCAGGACAUUUGAUUUAGUUUAACCUGUAAGCACAGUAUUAAUCUAACUGAUAUAAUCCAGAUUCUAGGUAUAUAUAGGUUAUAUAUGAUAAUUCGCUACUAAUUUAAAGAACAGAGUUUUGUAUUUAUUACUUUUAAUAAAACGAUAAUUUUAUUUAUAUUCCUCAUCACACAUUAUUAGGACUUGCGAUACCAUGCAGGAAUGUAGCCAUGCAUUAUAACUUUUCUAAUUAUUUAUUUAUCACGGGUUUCAUUUAUAAAAAGAACAUUAUUUUGUUCCAUAUAGUGUACAUGGUAGAAUAAAAUAAUCUUAUCAGUGAAAUUAUUUAAAAGGCGAUUAUUUUAUGUUAAUGAAACCAUACAAAUUUUAGAUUACCUCAUGGUUUAUCCAGCUCAAUUAAUUUAAUAUUUGCAUUCAUUGUAUUUAAAAAUGUAAUUCUUAGUUUAUCAUUUGUAAGUUGAAGAUUUUUGAUCGUAACGGCAUGUUCAAAAAUUGCACGAACAUGUCACAAAUGAACUGGAGGGAAACAGCGUGAAAAAUAAAAGAGCAAGCUGAGACAAUAAUUAAUUAUAAAAUGUUACACAUUAAACAUGACUAUGAGUAUUAAUCCUCCUAGAUUGACAACUGCGGAAAAUUUAAUUAAAAAACUUCGAAGGCACUCUUGACUAAAUUGAUCUGCAACAUUAUUUUUGUAUUGUAUCUGAACAAAUGUCUUCACUUUGCCGGUUUAUAUCGGUUUUGGGUGAAUUUACUUCGUUUUUAAAUUUGAUAGUCAUAGCUAUUUAAGAUUUUCUCCCCAAUGGAACAAUAUAAAAUUUUAUCGUUCUAAAAAGUUAUUUAUAUUUCAAUGUUUUAUUUUUCACUUUAUGAAGUGUAUUAAAGUACUGUGUAUAUUAAAUAAAAGUAAAUUAACCGAACCAAAUACCUGAAAAUUACAAAAAUUGAAUACCAUUAAAGGUAAUAUUGGUAAAAUUCUUUUAAGGUACUCGUAUUUAGUCUUGUUUCUGUAACUACGACACAAACUACAAGGGAGCUGUACCGAUUAUUUAUUUUUAAUCUCCAUUCAUAUACAAUGAAAAUAAAACAUCUUAAUACCAAAAUAUUAUUUUAUUAAUAAUAAAUUUAUUCGUAUUUACCAAUAACACAGCUUAAUUUAAAACAUGGAAUAAUAUAUUAGAAUGUGUGUAAAUAUAUUAAUCUAUAGAAUGUGUGUAAACUGUUUGUGAACGAAUUACAUUUAUUGCUCUUUAUAACAUUCGCAGUAUUUUAGAACAAACUACAUAUUAUAUUAUAUGAUAUUAAAAUUAUUGGAAUUCAUAUCUCUCGACAUAUCAGUACAAUGUUUAUAUUUGGAAAGCCUUUUAAGUAAGUAAGUCAUGGAACAUCAAUGAAUUUAGAAUCAGUUUUUGGUAUGAACAUUAGCUUAAUCAUGAUAUAACUAGAGGAUAGAGAUUUAUUUGUAAAGCCACCAUACACUUAUAAUAUUAUGAAACAGUUGUUUUUAUGGUACAAAGUAUUUUUUUUUUUUUUUCAGACGUUGAGGGGCUAGAUAAAUGUGAAGCAGCUGUUAAACAUCUUUCAUGCGCCAAAAUCAAAUCUGCACAGCAAAACAUCAGUAUAAAAGAUUAGACACCGGCACGUGACACUCCACUGUCAGUAGCAGGGUUAGAAUACUCUUCUCGGAAGAACGUCUUUAUAGUCAUAAUUUAUGUAUUAGUUGUUGAGUAUUUUGUUGAUAAAACAAAACAAACUUAUUGUUUCA
Long non-coding RNA from Homalodisca vitripennis (glassy-winged sharpshooter), 1988 nucleotides. RefSeq lists it as uncharacterized. The transcript is spliced from 2 exons. The record is from RefSeq and is a predicted model, not a curated record. NCBI's taxonomy places the organism in Eukaryota, Metazoa, Arthropoda, Insecta, Hemiptera, Cicadellidae.